CCUACGGGUGGCAGCAGUGGGGAAUAUUGGGCAAUGGGCGCAAGCCUGACCCAGCAACGCCGCGUGAAGGAAGAAGGCUUUCGGGGUGUAAACUUCUUUUGUUAGGGAAGAGUAGAAGACGGUACCUGACGAAUAAGCCACGGCUAACUACGUGCCAGCAGCCGCGGUAAUACGGAGGUGGCAAGCGUUGUCCGGAUUUACUGGGUGUAACGGGCGUGUAGCCGGGUUGGGAAGUCAGAUGUGAAAUCCUGCGGCUUAACCGCAGAACUGCAUUUGAAACUGUUGAUCUUGAGUACUGGAGAGGCAGACGGAAUUCCUGGUGUAGCGGUGAAAUGCGUAGAUAUUAGGAGGAACACCAGUGGCGAAGGCAGUCUGCUGGACAGCAACUGACGGUGAGGCGCGAAAGCGUGGGGAGCAAACAGGAUUAGAUACCCGUGUAGUC
RNAcentral lists this ribosomal RNA (442 nucleotides) under uncultured bacterium. Its description in RNAcentral is "partial 16S ribosomal RNA". It matches the Rfam family "Bacterial small subunit ribosomal RNA", at positions 338 to 795 of the family's 1533-position model. The record is from RNAcentral.